Molecule: ribosomal RNA, 497 nt
Filed under: uncultured bacterium
Lineage: Bacteria
Description: partial 16S ribosomal RNA
Rfam family: Bacterial small subunit ribosomal RNA
Source: RNAcentral
GACGAACGCUGGCGGCGUGCCUAAUACAUGCAAGUAGAACGCUGAAGAGAGGAGCUUGCUCUUCUUGGAUGAGUUGCGAACGGGUGAGUAACGCGUAGGUAACCUGCCUGGUAGCGGGGGAUAACUAUUGGAAACGAUAGCUAAUACCGCAUAAAAUUGAUUAUUGCAUGAUAAUUAAUUGAAAGAUGCAACUGCAUCACUACCAGAUGGACCUGCGUUGUAUUAGCUAGUUGGUGAGGUAACGGCUCACCAAGGCGACGAUACAUAGCCGACCUGAGAGGGUGAUCGGCCACACUGGGACUGGGACACGGCCCAGACUCCUACGGGAGGCAGCAGUAGGGAAUCUUCGGCAAUGGGGGGAACCCUGACCGAGCAACGCCGCGUGAGUGAAGAAGGUUUUCGGAUCGUAAAGCUCUGUUGUAAGAGAAGAACGGGUGUGAGAGUGGAAAGUUCACACUGUGACGGUAUCUUACCAGAAAGGGACGGCUAACUACGUG